Molecule: long non-coding RNA, 1022 nt
Organism: Ictalurus furcatus (blue catfish)
Lineage: Eukaryota; Metazoa; Chordata; Actinopteri; Siluriformes; Ictaluridae
Exons: 3
Source: RefSeq, a predicted model, not a curated record
AUCAAAUAUUUCUGCUUUUCCUUUCGUAUCGCCAGAAUAAAGAAGAGUGCAGCCAUCACGGCAAUUUACUAUAAUCCUUAGUAAAUAACUGACAACUAAUUUACCGUCCCUGCGGAAUUAUGUCUAGUGGAUACCAUUAAGGACCAAUAAUGCUGAUCAGAGCCUUCGGAGAGACCCAAACGUGCAGACGGUCCUCAGGUCAGGAACUGAGAUUGUCUAACAAAGUUAAGGUAAGGUGUUGUAGCGCCUCCAGGUGGCCAAACGUCCUGCUGAAUAGACAGAGCUGGAGACAAGCCCGGUCAAGCCUGUGUGCGUUCGUUUCAUUUACUCCAACAGAGCUGCUGUGUUGUUACUGCAGACAAUCUUUGUUUUUACAAAACAUUCUCUAAAAGCCUUGAUAUAAGCCAAAUUCCACAAAGGUCUGCCUUAUACCGAAUCAGUAUCAACCAGUACAAUGUAUAUAUAAUUUUUUAUGAUUGAUAUAUUACAGGGAGAUGGCACAUUACAUUACAAUUCGGCUCUCCUGCAAUUUAUUUAAAAGAGCCCUAUUGGCUUUCAAAACACCGCUUCUUGAAGCUUUGAAACCGUUUUGAAUCAGUAGGUCGGAGCGCGUGUCAAACUGGCCAAGUCAUGUGACUUCAGCAAACGAUACUUCAUUACGUCAUACUGUUUCGAAAUGUUGAUGGUUCGCCGCUAGGGGGUGUUGAUCUCCAGGUGAACCAAUGAACCAGUGUUUGUUAUCUAAAUUAUACACUAUUUAAUAUUUUUUUAAACACUAAUUCAUUGUGGCUAAUAGAGUGCAGUGGAUGUAACAACCUGCACGUGUGAUAUUUAUACAAGUGAUAUUUAUACCAGCUUUAGUUAAUGCUUAUUGUUAGAUAAUAGCUAGUUAGAUUCUAAUUGCAGUUAGCUAGCCUGAGCAACAUUUCACUACCUACUAUGUCAGUUGUCCAACAUUUAUCUCAAAUUAAUUACAGUUAUUGGCAUUUGUUAACAAAGUUUAUAUUCUGUGAUUAGAUUUG